Molecule: ribosomal RNA, 206 nt
Filed under: uncultured bacterium
Lineage: Bacteria
Description: partial 16S ribosomal RNA
Rfam family: Bacterial small subunit ribosomal RNA
Source: RNAcentral
UGCGUAGGCGGCUUUGCAAGUCAGAUGUGAAGUCUAUGGGCUCAACCCAUAAACUGCAUUUGAAACUGUAGAGCUUGAGUGAAGUAGAGGCAGGCGGAAUUCCCCGUGUAGCGGUGAAAUGCGUAGAGAUGGGGAGGAACACCAGUGGCGAAGGCGGCCUGCUGGGCUUUAACUGACGCUGAGGCACGAAAGCGUGGUAGCAAACA